UUUGCAGUGACAGAUAAAUGUGUAGGAUUUAAGACCCUAGUAUGUCCUUAGGGCCUGCAAAA
Molecule: transfer RNA, 62 nt
Filed under: Pinctada imbricata (Akoya pearl oyster)
Lineage: Eukaryota; Metazoa; Mollusca; Bivalvia; Pterioida; Pteriidae
Description: tRNA-Leu
Source: RNAcentral